CCUUGAUUUCACAGUCAGGUGAUUCAGUCAGGGGUUCUCCUUUUAGCUUCCAAUUGCCAUGGACACCUUCCUCAGAUAUUUCAAUAUCAAAACGGGCAGUCUCUGUCUCAAUCACCUCCACACUGUAUAAUGGACGUAUGAUUUCAAUAUCUCUGUCUUCAAUAUUGAGGUUAGCAGAGGUUUGAUCAGUACCACAAUCACAAGUAUAUUGUCCAAUGUCUUUCUUCAAAGCUUUCUUGAGUAUAAGUAUUCUCUUUUUACCAUCAGCCUUAAUAACAACAUUCUUUGAUGGAGUAAUUGGUUUGCCAUCCUUCAUCC
This 318-nucleotide long non-coding RNA is filed under the name Gallus gallus (chicken). Lineage: Eukaryota; Metazoa; Chordata; Aves; Galliformes; Phasianidae. The record is from RNAcentral.